Budorcas taxicolor (takin) is the source of this 72-nucleotide non-coding RNA. The record is from the annotation of a RefSeq genome assembly. Lineage: Eukaryota; Metazoa; Chordata; Mammalia; Artiodactyla; Bovidae.
UCCCUGGUGGUCUAGUGGUUAGGAUUCAGCACUUUCGCUGCUGUGGCCCAGUUUCAAUCCCUGGUCGGGGAA